This is a non-coding RNA of Acanthosepion pharaonis, 111 nucleotides long. NCBI's taxonomy places the organism in Eukaryota, Metazoa, Mollusca, Cephalopoda, Sepiida, Sepiidae. The record is from the annotation of a GenBank genome assembly.
UAUGGCUACAGCACGUUGAAGCAAUGGUUCCCGUAUGAUCAUAGAAGUUAAGCAACGUCGAAUCUGGUCAGUACCUAGAUGGGUGACCGCUUGAGAAUACCAAGUGCUAUA